RNAcentral lists this ribosomal RNA (253 nucleotides) under uncultured bacterium. Its description in RNAcentral is "partial 16S ribosomal RNA". It matches the Rfam family "Bacterial small subunit ribosomal RNA", at positions 524 to 776 of the family's 1533-position model. The record is from RNAcentral.
UACGUAGGUGGCAAGCGUUAUCCGGAAUUAUUGGGCGUAAAGCGCGCGCAGGUGGUUUCUUAAGUCUGAUGUGAAAGCCCACGGCUCAACCGUGGAGGGUCAUUGGAAACUGGGAGACUUGAGUGCAGAAGAGGAAAGUGGAAUUCCAUGUGUAGCGGUGAAAUGCGUAGAGAUAUGGAGGAACACCAGUGGCGAAGGCGCCUUUCUGGUCUGUAACUGACACUGAGGCGCGAAAGCGUGGGGAGCAAAUAGG